RNAcentral lists this unclassified non-coding RNA (400 nucleotides) under uncultured fungus. RNAcentral describes it as "sequence contains ITS1". The stretch from base 1 to 105 matches the Rfam family "5.8S ribosomal RNA", at positions 50 to 154 of the family's 154-position model. Lineage: Eukaryota; Fungi. The record is from RNAcentral.
GAAUUGCGAAAAGUAAUGUGAAUUGCAGAAUUUCGUGAAUCAUCGAAUCUUUGAACGCACCUUGCACUUUCUGGUCCUCCAGAAAGUAUGCCUGUUUGAGUAUCAUAUACACCCCUCAUUCGCGUGAAGGGCGCUGCACUUGUGCGGAGCUCGGCGCGCGCAAUGGAACUGAGCAUUCAGUGUGCCGGCCUUGCGCUGGCGCCUUCAGCUGGUUGCUUGAAAUGUAGCGUUGUUGUGCUUGGCACUGUUUCGUACUAGCGUAUUAGUUCAUUUCGAUUUUCUACGCACUAACGGUACAAACGCAGCUUGCAGCAGCGACCCCAUUUAACCGAGCAUGCACUGGCAGUUGACGGUGCGUCUCCAACUAUUGAUCUCAAAUCAGGCAAGAUUACCCGCUGAA